This 427-nucleotide ribosomal RNA is filed under the name uncultured bacterium. RNAcentral's name for it is "partial 16S ribosomal RNA". It matches the Rfam family "Bacterial small subunit ribosomal RNA", at positions 355 to 774 of the family's 1533-position model. The record is from RNAcentral.
UGGGGAAUAUUGCACAAUGGGCGCAAGCCUGAUGCAGCCAUGCCGCGUGUAUGAAGAAGGCCUUCGGGUUGUAAAGUACUUUCAGCGGGGAGGAAGGGAGUAAGGUUAAUACCUUUGCUCAUUGACGUUACCCGCAGAAGAAGCACCGACUAACUCCGUGCCAGCAGCCGCGGUAAUACGGAGGGUGCAAGCGUUAAUCGGAAUUACUGGGCGUAAAGCGCACGCAGGCGGUUUGUUAAGUCAGAUGUGAAAUCCCCGGGCUCAACCUGGGAACUGCAUCUGAUACUGGCAAGCUUGAGUCUCGUAGAGGGGGGUAGAAUUCCAGGUGUAGCGGUGAAAUGCGUAGAGAUCUGGAGGAAUACCGGUGGCGAAGGCGGCCCCCUGGACGAAGACUGACGCUCAGGUGCGAAAGCGUGGGGAGCAAACA